RNAcentral lists this ribosomal RNA (253 nucleotides) under uncultured bacterium. Its description in RNAcentral is "partial 16S ribosomal RNA". It matches the Rfam family "Bacterial small subunit ribosomal RNA", at positions 524 to 778 of the family's 1533-position model. The record is from RNAcentral.
UACGGAGGUGCAAGCGUUAUCCGGAUUUACUGGGUUUAAAGGGUGCGUAGGCGGGCCUUUAAGUCAGUGGUGAAAGCUCCGAGCUUAACUCGGAAACUGCCAUUGAGUACUAUUGGUCUUGAAUUCGGUCGAGGUGCGGAAUGUGUCGUGUAGCGGUGAAUGCUUAGAUAUGACACAGAACACCGAUUGCGAAGGCAGCUAGCUAGACCGACAUUGACGCUGAGGCACGAAAGCGUGGGGGAUCAAACACGGA